UUAGCUACUUUUAAGGCUCUUCUAAAAUAGCAACAAAGAUGGUCAAAUGACCCAAGGACCAUCUACAUAUCCUAGUAUAGACCUUGAAAAUACUUGCAAGUAGUGAGCACCUGGCAAGAAAAUAGUAAUUCCAGAAUAUAUUCAGCCAUCUUAAUUUUCCAAUACUGAAUGGAUUCCUCCACAUGAAACUGGCAAAGAAAACACUGUUCAACCACUUCAUCAAGGCACAAAAAAAGAAGCAAUUGAUCCCAAUAUUCACGGACCAGCAAAGGUAUAAUACCAGACCAAUAUUGAGUAUGAACCUGAUUUCAAUCUUCAAAGACCAGACCA
Molecule: long non-coding RNA, 330 nt
Filed under: Sorghum bicolor (sorghum)
Lineage: Eukaryota; Viridiplantae; Streptophyta; Magnoliopsida; Poales; Poaceae
Description: long non-coding RNA (SBIC_LNC008551)
Source: RNAcentral